This 212-nucleotide unclassified non-coding RNA is filed under the name Hevea brasiliensis (rubber tree). Lineage: Eukaryota; Viridiplantae; Streptophyta; Magnoliopsida; Malpighiales; Euphorbiaceae. The record is from RNAcentral.
GGGGAUCGGAUGAAGGGACUGGGAGCAGGCAGUCGCCUUCUGGGUUGUCGGCAGAGGGGCAAAACGGGAAGAGGAGGGGCAUCUCGCGGAGGAGAACGCCAUCACUGAUCACAAGAGAGGUGCCGUGUUGGGCGAGGAAGGGAUUUGAAGGUCGGGGGUUUGGUGCAUCGAGAGCAUCGAUGGGCCCUUGAGAUUGCCGAAGGGCUGUUUUU